Stylophora pistillata is the source of this 1490-nucleotide long non-coding RNA. The record is from RefSeq and is a predicted model, not a curated record. NCBI's taxonomy places the organism in Eukaryota, Metazoa, Cnidaria, Anthozoa, Scleractinia, Pocilloporidae.
CAUAAGAACUGUAUGGCCGUCAGGAGAAUCACCAAUGAGAUUGUGGAAGAGAAAGGGUGCAUGAACCCAUAACCACAAACUGUGUUAUAAGUUUACAGCAUGAUAUUUUUUUCUGCAGGGUGUCAUAAUUUUUGUUGAAGGUUCUCUUGUAUCCAAUGACGCCCAAAGAUUUCCAGACAUUUCUGAAAAGUUCAGCUACCUAAGGUGAGAAAGGAACAGUUUAAAAAAUUUUGACAAUUAAGGGUUGUAAAAUGUGAAAAUUUUUUCUAAGAGUUAGUAACCCUUUCACUCCCAGAAGUUAUGAAAACAGUAGAGUUAAUGUAAGUGGAAUAAUUAUGUUUUGCGCCUAACUCUGUGUCAUUUUAGCCAUAGCCACUAGGUGAGGGUAAAAAAUAUUUAUGCCUAACAACAUAAACUUUGUUAUUGUUAUUAUCAACUUUGGAUGGCAUCGUGAUGGUAAAAACUAAACAAAAUGACAACAAAAUCACAUGAGCACUAACCACUUGAAUGGCUUUUAUUUUCCUUCCAUGAAUGUACAAUAUGGAGCAAAGCUGGCUGGAAAUAACAAAAAUCUUUGCAUUUGAGUUUUAAAAAUGAUGAAAGGUUAUGAGGAGGUACAGGCUGAUCAGCUAGAAAGUGUUAUUUGGCUAUAUCAAACACCAACUUCACUAGACUUACCAAAAAAGAAAUGAAUGGCAGUCAUUGGGGAGAACAGAGAACUUAAUUUUGAGAUUCAAGGGCCUGCUGAUGCAACACAGUGUAGUAAAGUAUAGUGAUACUGUGAAGCCACGGUGGCCCAUUGCAAGCCUUGGUGAUCAGUGGAGAGGGAGUGGACAGAGUGUGAGACUCUUGUUUGAAUGGACACUGGACUAAUUCAGCCAGGCAAUAUCAGGUGGAAAGCAGAUAAACUUGAAUGCAGUGUUGAUUGAGAAAAGAGAGUGGAUAAGUGGAAACAUUUGUUAUCAAAGGAGUUUUUCAUUUCAGGAAGUCAAAGCGAUUAUGUGAAAUGUGAUGAGGAUCUUCGUCAAACUUAGAACUCCAGGGCUCUUUUUCUUCUACUUCCUUUAUCCGUUUACAGUUUGUCCGGUGAAACGAUCAAUCUUUCACAUUAUAACAGUCACGUGUGCCUUCGCUCGAGGAUGAAAUGGCGACCGAUGCGAAAUCUCAGCUUUAUUUUGCUGCGAGGAAAACAGCUACUGUUGGUAAUCUUUCGUCCAAACUCAUCUUUGGUAGAAAAAUUGUAUGUUUCCUUCAGCUUGGGCAGAAUUAGCGCCGUGGUAGAACAGGAUAAAAGACCAAUGGAAGCACGCUCAACCCGAACAGUUACUCUUGUUGGAACCUUCUUCUGGAAAGAUAUUUUAAAAUUACCAACAUAGCUGAAUGGCGGAAGACUGAAGUCCCAAUCAAGCACCAACACUUGAGGAUGAAGACCUUACAGCUCCAAGACAAGUUCAAAGCAGAGAUAGAAAAUAAAUUUUACCAGAACUCAA